CUACGGGACGCAGCAGUGGGGAAUUUUGCGCAAUGGGGGCAACCCUGACGCAGCAAUACCGCGUGAGUGAAGAAGGCCUUUGGGUCGUAAAGCUCUUUUCUAAGGGAAGAUAGUGACGGUACCUUAGGAAUAAGCACCGGCUAACUCCGUGCCAGCAGCCGCGGUAAUACGGAGGGUGCGAGCGUUGUUCGGAUUUACUGGGCGUAAAGGGCACGUAGGCGGCCUAGCAAGUUAAGGGUGAAAGCCCCGGGCUUAACCUGGGAACUGCAUCCGAUACUGUCUAGCUUGAGUACAGGAGAGGAGAGUGAAAUUCCACAUGUAGCGGUGAAAUGCGUAGAUAUGUGGAGGAACACCAAUGGCGAAGGCAGCUCUCUGGCCUGAUACUGACGCUGAGGUGCGAAAGCGUGGGGAGCAAACAGGAUUAGAUACCCGUGUAGUC
Molecule: ribosomal RNA, 439 nt
Filed under: uncultured bacterium
Lineage: Bacteria
Description: partial 16S ribosomal RNA
Rfam family: Bacterial small subunit ribosomal RNA
Source: RNAcentral